AAAUUGAAGAGUUUGAUCAUGGCUCAGAUUGAACGCUGGCGGCAGGCCUAACACAUGCAAGUCGAACGGUAACAGGAAGCAGCUUGCUGCUUUGCUGACGAGUGGCGGACGGGUGAGUAAUGUCUGGGAAACUGCCUGAUGGAGGGGGAUAACUACUGGAAACGGUGGCUAAUACCGCAUAACGUCGCAAGACCAAAGAGGGGGACCUUCGGGCCUCUUGCCAUCAGAUGUGCCCAGAUGGGAUUAGCUUGUUGGUGAGGUAACGGCUCACCAAGGCGACGAUCCCUAGCUGGUCUGAGAGGAUGACCAGCCACACUGGAACUGAGACACGGUCCAGACUCCUACGGGAGGCAGCAGUGGGGAAUAUUGCACAAUGGGCGCAAGCCUGAUGCAGCCAUGCCGCGUGUAUGAAGAAGGCCUUCGGGUUGUAAAGUACUUUCAGCGGGGAGGAAGGUGUUGUGGUUAAUAACCGCAGCAAUUGACGUUACCCGCAGAAGAAGCACCGGCUAACUCCGUGCCAGCAGCCGCGGUAAUACGGAGGGUGCAAGCGUUAAUCGGAAUUACUGGGCGUAAAGCGCACGCAGGCGGUCUGUCAAGUCGGAUGUGAAAUCCCCGGGCUCAACCUGGGAACUGCAUUCGAAACUGGCAGGCUUGAGUCUUGUAGAGGGGGGUAGAAUUCCAGGUGUAGCGGUGAAAUGCGUAGAGAUCUGGAGGAAUACCGGUGGCGAAGGCGGCCCCCUGGACAAAGACUGACGCUCAGGUGCGAAAGCGUGGGGAGCAAACAGGAUUAGAUACCCUGGUAGUCCACGCCGUAAACGAUGUCUACUUGGAGGUUGUGCCCUUGAGGCGUGGCUUCCGGAGCUAACGCGUUAAGUAGACCGCCUGGGGAGUACGGCCGCAAGGUUAAAACUCAAAUGAAUUGACGGGGGCCCGCACAAGCGGUGGAGCAUGUGGUUUAAUUCGAUGCAACGCGAAGAACCUUACCUGGUCUUGACAUCCACGGAAGAAUUCAGAGAUGGAUUUGUGCCUUCGGGAACCGUGAGACAGGUGCUGCAUGGCUGUCGUCAGCUCGUGUUGUGAAAUGUUGGGUUAAGUCCCGCAACGAGCGCAACCCUUAUCCUUUGUUGCCAGCGAUUCGGUCGGGAACUCAAAGGAGACUGCCAGUGAUAAACUGGAGGAAGGUGGGGAUGACGUCAAGUCAUCAUGGCCCUUACGACCAGGGCUACACACGUGCUACAAUGGCGCAUACAAAGAGAAGCGACCUCGCGAGAGCAAGCGGACCUCAUAAAGUGCGUCGUAGUCCGGAUUGGAGUCUGCAACUCGACUCCAUGAAGUCGGAAUCGCUAGUAAUCGUGGAUCAGAAUGCCACGGUGAAUACGUUCCCGGGCCUUGUACACACCGCCCGUCACACCAUGGGAGUGGGUUGCAAAAGAAGUAGGUAGCUUAACCUUCGGGAGGGCGCUUACCACUUUGUGAUUCAUGACUGGGGUGAAGUCGUAACAAGGUAACCGUAGGGGAACCUGCGGUUGGAUCACCUCCUUA
This 1542-nucleotide ribosomal RNA is filed under the name Salmonella enterica. Its description in RNAcentral is "bacterial SSU rRNA". It matches the Rfam family "Bacterial small subunit ribosomal RNA". The record is from RNAcentral. Lineage: Bacteria; Pseudomonadati; Pseudomonadota; Gammaproteobacteria; Enterobacterales; Enterobacteriaceae. RNAcentral also lists the same sequence under 1 other name.